RNAcentral lists this ribosomal RNA (483 nucleotides) under uncultured bacterium. RNAcentral describes it as "partial 16S ribosomal RNA". It matches the Rfam family "Bacterial small subunit ribosomal RNA", at positions 30 to 507 of the family's 1533-position model. The record is from RNAcentral.
AUUGAACGCUGGCGGCAGGCCUAACACAUGCAAGUCGAGCGGAUGAAGGGAGCUUGCUCCUGGAUUCAGCGGCGGACGGGUGAGUAAUGCCUAGGAAUCUGCCUGGUAGUGGGGAUAACGUCCGGAAACGGGCGCUAAUACCGCAUACGUCCUGAGGGAGAAAGUGGGGGAUCUUCGGACCCCACGCUAUCAGAUGAGCCUAGGUCGGAUUAGCUAGUUGGUGGGGUAAAGGCCUACCAAGGCGACGAUCCGUAACUGGUCUGAGAGGAUGAUCAGUCACACUGGAACUGAGACACGGUCCAGACUCCUACGGGAGGCAGCAGUGGGGAAUAUUGGACAAUGGGCGAAAGCCUGAUCCAGCCAUGCCGCGUGUGUGAAGAAGGUCUUCGGAUUGUAAAGCACUUUAAGUUGGGAGGAAGGGCAGUAAGUUAAUACCUUGCUGUUUUGACGUUACCAACAGAAUAAGCACCGGCUAACUUCGUG